This 926-nucleotide long non-coding RNA is filed under the name Triticum aestivum (bread wheat). RNAcentral describes it as "long non-coding RNA (TAES_LNC005481)". The record is from RNAcentral. Lineage: Eukaryota; Viridiplantae; Streptophyta; Magnoliopsida; Poales; Poaceae.
GCAUCGCUUUUUCUGGACAGGUUAGCUAACCUGCACCUACCAAUUUUGUACAUUAGAAGAAAUCUGAACCGCAAUUUUCAUACUUGAGUAACUGAAUUUUAUUGAUCCAAAUGAUAAUAUUGUAAUCUAUACGGACUUCCUGUGACCAACUCAUCUUCUAUACAGACGUCCUGACUGGUUGUGAUUCUGAUCAGCGAGAAGAAAAUAUACAAUUCAUUGUUGCACUGUUAACGCUAGCAUCAAGAGGUUGUUCAUGUCAUCAAAAUGUGCAACAAGAAUGAAAGUGCAACUACACUGCAGCUUCUUUCAGGUAUGCAGAGUAUGUCCUCUCAUACACCCUCUGCUUAAUUUGUCAAUUAUAUCCUAAAGAUAUGUGUUCACCAGGUACAAAGAACAUCUUAUUGGGAUAAAAAAAUAUGUUCAUCUUACCAGUGUUCAUUCCCUAUUUUAUUCUCUAUGGAACCCUCUCCUUAAUUAAGACAUGGUAUCCUUUAAAAGAAAUGUAAGACAUGGAAGGUUGAGUUUGUGGAAGUAUCAUCACAAAUGAUAGCGAGCAAAUUGAUAUUGGCAACACGUAGACCAGAAAGCGUUCCAGGUGAGAAAGCUGCCCUUAGUUGUCAAAAAUUUAUUAUUGUCUUUAAUUAGUGCCAAUAAAAAUUGUCUUCUUACCGGAAUCAUUAUAUUCGGCGUUCUCUUUCCUCUUAGGUUCAUGCUGCCUACACAUGCAUCAUAUUCAGGGCAUCUAGAAGUGCAAGUUGCAAGGUGUUCAGAAUACAUCAUCAAUAAAUAAAAGGAACAGUCAGAGAGUAAAAGUUCCAGGACUGGUUAAGAUAUAUUAACACGUUGAUCAUUUUGUAGUAAAUUUUCUUCUCCUGCCCUGCAGUUUGUCCGUAACAUUUCCCUUCUCUUGCACAUAUAAGAGACAC